GACGAACGCUGGCGGCGUGCUUAACACAUGCAAGUCGAGCGGUAAGGCCCUUUCGGGGGUACACGAGCGGCGAACGGGUGAGUAACGCGUGGGAAUCUCCCCAGAGGUACGGAACAACUCAGGGAAACUUGAGCCUAAUACCGUAUGUGCCCGAGAGGGCAAAGAUUCAUCGCCUUUGGAUGAGCCCGCGUUGGAUUAGCUAGUUGGUGGGGUAACGCCUACCAAGGCUACGAUCCAUAGCUGAUCUGAGAGGAUGAUCAGCCACACUGGGACUGAGACACGGCCCAGACUCCUACGGGGAGGCA
RNAcentral lists this ribosomal RNA (305 nucleotides) under uncultured bacterium. RNAcentral's name for it is "bacterial SSU rRNA". It matches the Rfam family "Bacterial small subunit ribosomal RNA", at positions 28 to 350 of the family's 1533-position model. The record is from RNAcentral.